UAUACAUUUUUUAUGUUACUCUUGUCAGUUGGUGGUUACCAUAGCAACCAGUAACAGUCAGCUCUUCCCCUUUUUCUGUUGCUGUCUGUUACUGUGGGGCAGAAGCUGCUGGAGCUGCUAACCACCAACUUGUUUAUUUGUCUCUUGUUAGGUAUGUUUUACUAUUUGAUACAAAGUAACAAUUCAGUUGCCAAUUGUACGAUAGUCUUUGAAUGUUAAAUAUUUGUGUGUACUCUGUUUCGUUCACCACAAUAUAUGUAUUCAUUGCUAACUGUGUUAAAUAUAAUGUAGAAAAUUGAUGUACAUUUAUGUUAAAAUUACUAUACGAUCACAGUCAGCUCGCCCCUUUUUCUGUUGCUGUCUGUUACUGUGGGCCAGAAGCUGCUGGAGCUGCUAACCACCAACUUGUUUAUUUGUCUCUUGUUAGAAUAAAUACAGAGAACCAGAAUGUGUCUGUCGUGAAGUCAGCCUGCUGGAUCAGAACGAACAAGAUGGGUUACAUAUAUAUAUUUUUUAUUUUAUUUUAUUCAUAGACAGGCACCUAAUUCUGCAGCCGUUUUAAUCUGUGACUGCAGGGGGCGCUGUUUCUUCUGUACACCUCAGAGUUGGGGGUUUGUUUUUUUUCCCACCAUAAAACAAAUACAGCCCAGCAACAACAUAUAAAGUUAACGCGAGCUGAUAAGUAUUCAAACCCCUGUCUUGUUCCCCUGCUGCAAGCUUUUUUUAAGGCAUGGUUCGGGGCAGAUGGCUCUGUUUAGUCUGAGAGAUGGCUCCUCAGGGCUGAAGUAUAAGAUAAGAUUUAUGUCACACUGUGCAAGGUUAAAAUCCUUAGAAAUUACCUUGAAUCAGAGAGUUCUCUUACUUUGUCUAGUAAGAAAAUAUACGAUGGCCUCCUGCUGUAAAACUGUUGUUCCUUGCAAGGUCAUAAUAAAGCUGGUUAAGUGAC
Molecule: long non-coding RNA, 946 nt
Organism: Girardinichthys multiradiatus
Lineage: Eukaryota; Metazoa; Chordata; Actinopteri; Cyprinodontiformes; Goodeidae
Exons: 2
Source: RefSeq, a predicted model, not a curated record